CAGUCGCCACGGGAAUACGUAGGGUGCGAGCGUUAAUCGGAAUUACUGGGCGUAAAGCGUGCGCAGGCGGUUCGUUAAGACAGAUGUGAAAUCCCCGGGCUUAACCUGGGAACUGCAUUUGUGACUGGCGAGCUAGAGUAUGGCAGAGGGGGGUAGAAUUCCACGUGUAGCAGUGAAAUGCGUAGAAAUGUGGAGGAAUACCGAUGGCGAAGGCAGCCCCCUGGGCCAAUACUGACGCUCAUGCACGAAAGCGUGGGGAGCAAACAGGAUUAGAUACCCCGGUAGUCCCUGUCUCUUAUAA
Molecule: ribosomal RNA, 301 nt
Filed under: uncultured bacterium
Lineage: Bacteria
Description: partial 16S ribosomal RNA
Rfam family: Bacterial small subunit ribosomal RNA
Source: RNAcentral